GACAGAGGGUGCAAACGUUGUUCGGAAUUACUGGGCGUAAAGGGCGCGUAGGCGGACAGUUUAGUCAGAGGUGAAAGCCCAGGGCUCAACCUUGGAAUUGCCUUUGAUACUGGCUGUCUUGAGUUCGGGAGAGGUGGGUGGAAUGCCGAGUGUAGAGGUGAAAUUCGUAGAUAUUCGGCGGAACACCAGUGGCGAAGGCGACUCACUGGCCCGAUACUGACGCUGAGGCGCGAAAGCGUGGGGAGCAAACAGG
This 253-nucleotide ribosomal RNA is filed under the name uncultured bacterium. RNAcentral's name for it is "partial 16S ribosomal RNA". It matches the Rfam family "Bacterial small subunit ribosomal RNA", at positions 524 to 776 of the family's 1533-position model. The record is from RNAcentral.